CUACGGGUGGCACCAGUGGGGAAUAUUGGACAAUGGGGGAAACCCUGAUCCAGCAAUGCCGCGUGUGUGAAGAAGGCCUGCGGGUUGUAAAGCACUUUCGGUUGGGAGGACUGCUUCUAGCACUAAUAUUGUUGGAAGUUGACGUUACCUUCAGAAGAAGCACCGGCUAACUCCGUGCCAGCAGCCGCGGUAAUACGGAGGGUGCAAGCGUUAAUCGGAAUUACUGGGCGUAAAGCGCGCGUAGGCGGCUAGAUCAGUCGGGUGUGAAAGCCCCGGGCUUAACCUGGGAACUGCAUCCGAUACUGUCUAGCUUGAGUACAGGAGAGGAGAGUGGAAUUCCACACGUAGCGGUGAAAUGCGUAGAUAUGUGGAGGAACACCAAUGGCGGAGGCAGCUCUCUGGCCUGAUACUGACGCUGAGGUGCGAAAGCGUGGGGAGCAGACAGGAUUAGAUACCCCCGUAGUC
This 465-nucleotide ribosomal RNA is filed under the name uncultured bacterium. RNAcentral's name for it is "partial 16S ribosomal RNA". It matches the Rfam family "Bacterial small subunit ribosomal RNA", at positions 339 to 795 of the family's 1533-position model. The record is from RNAcentral.